CUUCCGGAGGGUAAAAUCACGUGACACCUGUGCGAUGGUGGUACAGGGAUGCAGUGGAAAGUAUGGUGGUGAUGCUGCAGCGACCACCCCCUCUCUGCCACAAAGAGAAUGCAGAAGAAUUUGGAAUCCUAGUGGACGUGUAAUGAGAUUCUGUCACUCCGUUCCUGUGUGUCUCACUGUGCUGCUCCCUGCCCGAGUACCUGGCCCUGCCCCCCUCACACACAGACAGAGCAGCAAGGUGCCGCUCUUCCUGCCUCACUCGGCGAGGAACGGCGAAACAAACGACUUUUUUUUUUUUUUACACCACGGUAAGCUGUGACUUUGUAAAACAAUAUAACACUACACUUUACUGCCACGCUGUCAGGGCCUGUCAGGGAGAACAUUUCUAGUAUUUUUCCACGCAAGUUUUAGAAAGCGUAUUACAGUGUUUUAACCCCGUGUAAGUUGCAAUAAACAAAGAUAGAUGCAAGUGUUCAUUCACAUGUCCAUCAUUAUCCAAGACUCUUAUGCAGCGUUUUCAAGUGUAAUAAAGAUGUGUGCAGACAUACACGGCGUCCCACUUCUCUCCAUACUUCCAUGCAGGAUG
Molecule: long non-coding RNA, 586 nt
Organism: Dunckerocampus dactyliophorus (ringed pipefish)
Lineage: Eukaryota; Metazoa; Chordata; Actinopteri; Syngnathiformes; Syngnathidae
Exons: 3
Source: RefSeq, a predicted model, not a curated record